Long non-coding RNA from Adelges cooleyi (spruce gall adelgid), 865 nucleotides. RefSeq lists it as uncharacterized. Lineage: Eukaryota; Metazoa; Arthropoda; Insecta; Hemiptera; Adelgidae. The transcript has 4 exons. The record is from RefSeq and is a predicted model, not a curated record.
CAUGGUAAACACUAAACAACCGUUUGGCGUUUACUAACUCGACACGUUCACUUGUCCAAGAUUUAGAGAAGAUGUUUUAUGCAUCCACAUUCCACUCUCCAAAUUCCAGCCGAUUCGUGGACCGUGGCAUAGUAAUAUUAUCCGUCUGUCUUUGCACAUUUGUCUGUGAUUUACUCGAAAAGUCGUUUCGCUGCGUAGUUGCAUGUUGGUGAAUAAAAAACAUAAAUAAAAAAGUUACAUAAUCUAAGUGAUUUUAUACUUAUAUACUCGAACAACUGUUUUGGAUCUUCAGAUCUGAGUUCUGACCAACGUGGCCGUUUUUAAUUAUUUUAGUGAGGAAACAACCGAGAAUUGAAAAUGGACAAUUAUUUCCAGAGGACCAUGAUAAAAAUAGAGGAUGAAAAUAAACAGUCAAUAGAACAGCUUACCAAAGCCUCUGAGAAAACAACCGAUGGAGAUGCGUAUAAUGACAUCAGUACGUGCAGCAAAACCACAGUGAAAUUUGAAGUGGACAUUUUGGGUAGUAAUCGUUUUGAGUCUGUAAUUGAAGUUGAAGAAAAUGAUCUCUCUGGUACGCCAACAACAAAUCACGAUUUGGACGAAAUAUGUACAUUUGUCUGUGAUUUAUGUAACAAGUCAUUCGCUCACCAAAAAGAAAAUGACACGACACAUUACUCUGACGCACAGUGAACACUCAAAAAUCCGGAAUAGCAUUAGAAAACAAGUUGUCAAAAAUAAAUUCAGUGUCAAUGGUACAGGUAAUGGAGCGAAUAAAAAAAUCAAAGGUUCUUCUGCAAAAUCCAUCGUAACAAAACACCAACGCGUGCACACUAGUGAAAAGCAUUACAAAUGUGAUGUGUGCCUG